This 491-nucleotide ribosomal RNA is filed under the name uncultured bacterium. RNAcentral describes it as "partial 16S ribosomal RNA". It matches the Rfam family "Bacterial small subunit ribosomal RNA", at positions 30 to 508 of the family's 1533-position model. The record is from RNAcentral.
AUUGAACGCUGGCGGCAGGCCUAACACAUGCAAGUCGAACGGUAGCAGGAAGAAGCUUGCUUCUUUGCUGACGAGUGGCGGACGGGUGAGUAAUGUCUGGGAAACUGCCUGAUGGAGGGGGAUAACUACUGGAAACGGUAGCUAAUACCGCAUAACGUCGCAAGACCAAAGAGGGGGACCUUCGGGCCUCUUGCCAUCGGAUGUGCCCAGAUGGGAUUAGCUAGUAGGUGGGGUAACGGCUCACCUAGGCGACGAUCCCUAGCUGGUCUGAGAGGAUGACCAGCCACACUGGAACUGAGACACGGUCCAGACUCCUACGGGAGGCAGCAGUGGGGAAUAUUGCACAAUGGGCGCAAGCCUGAUGCAGCCAUGCCGCGUGUAUGAAGAAGGCCUUCGGGUUGUAAAGUACUUUCAGCGGGGAGGAAGGGAGUAAAGUUAAUACCUUUGCUCAUUGACGUUACCCGCAGAAGAAGCACCGGCUAACUCCGUGC